GACGAACACUGGCGGCGUGCUUAACACAUGCAAGUCGAACGAAGUGGCGCACGGGUGAGUAACGCGUAAUCAACCUGCCCUUCAGAGGGGGACAACAGUUGGAAACGACUGCUAAUACCGAAUACUGAAGGUGGGGAUUGCGUCUGAUUAGCUAGUUGGCGGGGUAACGGCCCACCACGGCGAUGAUCAGUAGCCGGGCUGAGAGGAUGAACGGCCACAUUGGGACUGGGAAACGGCCCAGACUCCUACGGGAGGCAGCAGUGGGGAAGCUUCCGCAAUGGACGAAAGUCUGACGGAGCAACGCCGCGGGAGUGAUGACGGCCUUCGGGUUGUAAAGCUCUGUUAAUCGGGACGCGGUACCGGAAUAGAAAGCCACGGCUAACUACGUGCCAGCAGCCGCGGUAAUUC
This 408-nucleotide ribosomal RNA is filed under the name uncultured bacterium. RNAcentral's name for it is "partial 16S ribosomal RNA". It matches the Rfam family "Bacterial small subunit ribosomal RNA", at positions 28 to 526 of the family's 1533-position model. The record is from RNAcentral.